Molecule: ribosomal RNA, 464 nt
Filed under: uncultured bacterium
Lineage: Bacteria
Description: bacterial SSU rRNA
Rfam family: Bacterial small subunit ribosomal RNA
Source: RNAcentral
CUACGGGAGGCAGCAGUGGGGAAUAUUGCGCAAUGGGCGAAAGCCUGACGCAGCAACGCCGCGUGGGGGAUGAAGGUUUUCGGAUUGUAAACCCCUUUCGAUCGGAACGAAUCUCCUCGUGGUAAACAAUCACGAGGAUCGACGGUACCGAGAGAAGAAGCCACGGCUAACUCUGUGCCAGCAGCCGCGGUAAGACAGAGGUGGCUAGCGUUGUUCGGAUUUAUUGGGCGUAAAGCGAACGCAGGUGGUUUGGUAAGUCAGGGGUGAAAGUCCGCAGCUUAACUGCGGCACUGCCUCUGAUACUGCCUUUCUUGAGUGCAUGAGGGGGAAGCGGAAUUCCGAGUGUAGAGGUGAAAUUCGUAGAUAUUCGGAGGAACACCGGUGGCGAAGGCGGCUUCCUGGCAUGUAACUGACACUCAUGUUCGAAAGCGUGGGUAGCAAACAGGAUUAGAUACCCUGGUAGU